UAUUUUCUACAAUCAUUUGGGAAGAUUGGAUUUUUGCUUCUUUGUCAGGUCAGUUGCUUCCAGUCUCAAUAGCCCUUUUAGGCCUGCUUUGACCUAUGAGUUUGCUAUGUGCAGCUAAUCUAUUGAUUAUUUUUAGAGGGAAAGAGUGGUCAUUUUCAAUUUUAUUUUAAUUGAUUGUGUGAUCAUUAUCAGCUAACAAGGUCUAGAAUUUCAAGAAUUUAAUUUCUGGAUGUUUCUCUCUUGCAGUCUUGAUCAUUCUAUUGACUAAUAGAGUAGUGUCCUUGCAAUUUCCAAAGUCACUUGCAGAUGAAUCAUACUUCAACUGGAACUCAUAAGUAAAGCUCUACCAGAGCAAUGCUUCAUCAUCCAUGAAUUUUUUAGGACAUUUUAAAAAAAUUGAAUAUGAGACCACCUUCAUGUGGAUUUAGAAAAUACAAACUCAAUUCAGUCUACGAGAAUUUGAGUGGUAUGUUCCAUGCAACUGAAGUUUAAGACUAAAGUCCAAAGCAAUGUUUUUGUAGUAAAAGACAAUACAGAUUUAAGUUCAAAUUCCACAUUUCUAUUCAAACCCAAAAUUCAUUCACUAUUGAACAGAAAUUAAACUUUCCAUAUGCAUAUGUAUAUAUAGGAUAUCAACCUUUGCUUCAUUCUCACCAAUGGCUACACCAAGGAAGCCAAAUUGUUAUCCCCUUGUUUUGGCAGUGGUUUUUCU
RNAcentral lists this unclassified non-coding RNA (712 nucleotides) under Hevea brasiliensis (rubber tree). Lineage: Eukaryota; Viridiplantae; Streptophyta; Magnoliopsida; Malpighiales; Euphorbiaceae. The record is from RNAcentral.